CAAAGGCAUGGUCCCGACCUUACCGUCAGCUCUAGCCCAACUUACACAUGCAAGUCUCCGCAGCCCCGUGAGUAAGCCCUUAAUCCCCUGCCCGGGGACGAGGAGCAGGCAUCAGGCACAAACCCUUAGCCCAAGACGCCGGGCCUAGCCACACCCCCAAGGGAAUUCAGCAGUGAUAAAUAUUAAGCCAUGAGUGAAAACUUGACUUAGUCAAAGCUAAGAGGGCCGGUAAAACUCGUGCCAGCCACCGCGGUUAAACGAGAGGCCCUAGUUGAUGGGACAACGGCGUAAAGGGUGGUUAAGGAUAGUGAAAUAAUAAAGUCGAAUGGCCCUUUGGCUGUCAUACGCUUCUGGGAGUCUGAAGCCCAAUAUACGAAAGUAGCUUUAAUAACGUCCACCUGACCCCACGAGAACUGAGAAACAAACUGGGAUUAGAUACCCCACUAUGCUCAGUCAUAAACCCAGACGUCUAGCUACAAUAGGCGUCCGCCCGGGUACUACGAGCAUUGGCUUGAAACCCAAAGGACCUGACGGUGCCUCAGACCCCCCUAGAGGAGCCUGUUCUAGAACCGAUAACCCCCGUUAAACCUCACCGCUUCUAGCCAUCCCAGCCUAUAUACCGCCGUCGUCAGCUUACCCUGUGAAGGCAAUAAUAGUAAGCAAAAUGGGCACAACCCAGAACGUCAGGUCGAGGUGUAGCGUACGGAGCGGGAAGAAAUGGGCUACAUUUUCUAUAGUAGAAUACUACGGAUGUGCAACAUGAAAUAGUGCUUGAAGGAGGAUUUAGUAGUAAAGAGGAAGCAACGUGUCCUCUUGAACCCGGCUCUGAGGCGCGUACACACCGCCCGUCACUCUCCCCUGUCGAAAUGCAAUCAGGUUACCUAACACCACAGCUCUGACAAGGGGAGGCAAGUCGUAACAUGGUAAGUGUACCGGAAGGUGCACUUGGAUAAAAUU
This 957-nucleotide non-coding RNA is filed under the name Cyprinella lutrensis (red shiner). RNAcentral's name for it is "12S ribosomal RNA". It matches the Rfam family "Bacterial small subunit ribosomal RNA". Lineage: Eukaryota; Metazoa; Chordata; Actinopteri; Cypriniformes; Leuciscidae. The record is from RNAcentral.